Molecule: long non-coding RNA, 2709 nt
Filed under: Homo sapiens (human)
Lineage: Eukaryota; Metazoa; Chordata; Mammalia; Primates; Hominidae
Description: HSALNT0367946
Source: RNAcentral
ACUCAAAAAAUAAAUAAAUACAUAAAUACAUAAAUAAAUAAAAAGAAAAGAAAACUGACCGCAAAAUGGGCUCUUAUUUUGAGCAUGUACAAAACACAGGUAAGUCUGAUGGUCUCGGUACAUGCGAUACUGUUAACAGUUGGAAGAGGGGAGAAACAUUUCUGGAGGUGCUAACUGAAGUGCUUGAAAUACUUUAUGUUAUUUAAUCCUCAUAACCACACUGAAGCAUCGUUGCCCUAGUUAAGCCUCUUCAGCUAAGACUCUUCAGUUGCAAGAAACAGAAACCCAUUUCAGACAGCUUUAAGCCAAACAACAACAACAAAAACAUUUGUUAUAUGGGCGUAAGGUUAUUUCACAGAACCCAAGAGUGAGAAUGCAGCUGGGUCUUCAAGGCUGACCCAAACCAAGUGCUCCUUGAGGAUCUAAAUAUAUUUUUCAUCUCCUAGAUAAACCAUAUUUCUAUAUGUUAAACUGAAUAUUUCAGAGGAAGUCACUAAUAAUAGGUGUCUCGGGGGCUUCCGUGAAGGUUCAGGGCUCUGGACAUUCCCACUCCACUCCUAUCAGAACAGCUCUGUUUUUAUUUGGUUAAUACAUCAGGAUUCUGCCUAAGAGUUCAUUGAGGAAAUAGCACUACAGCACCUCCUCUGGCCAGAUACUGUGCAAAGAAUUACAAAAUAAAUCACAGACGAGUGGAGAAGAUAGGAAAGUAAAUACACUCUAAAACAAUAAAGGAGUACAGUGACAGAAAAACGCACAGAUUAUUAAGGGAACUCAAAGAAAGUCUAGUAAGCCCAGAAAGGGGUAGGGCUUAUGGGAGGUUUCACGGAGUGGAUACCUGGAAAGGGGAGGUAAGGCAGCUCAAAGGACACUGUUGUUCAACGGAGGGAAGCGGAUUCAACAAUUAUACAAUUCGCUGAGUCGGGGCUUUCACUGCGAAAGAACUUGGCUUCGGAUCCGUGAUCAAGGCUGGGAGCUAUGGAGGUGGAUGUGAUUGGCAAAGACCUCUGCUCAGGUCUGCGUCAAACCUUGCUUCGCUCCCAUCCCAUUCUGCGCCAAUAGGGCGCAGUAUCCCAACCAUUCCACUCGGCUAGGAGGGGAUCCUAAGCCUCAAGGUCCGCAUCUCCCGCUGGAGGGACUGAGCAGCCGCACUGGUGUCCCAGAAUAGAUCGUGUUCCCCAGAGGUUGUCAGGUUCCCGCAAUUCGGCGCGGGCGAGGCGGCCAAAGAGAGGGCGCUCAUUGGCUGCCACAGCCCCGGUCCGAGAGGCCGAAGAAGGCUGAUUCGUCACAGGCCGUCAGCGCGGGCCACGCCUAUUUCCUCUCCAGGUUCUAAUUAGGUCAGGGGCCCUACAGCCUCUUGGGUAGUUUGCAAGUGCGUCGCGGAGCCGGCCUCGGAAAUAUGGCGACAGCUUCAGCUUUCAGUGUGAGGGAGCCGAGGGCCCAGCCAAACCCUGCGGGAGGCAAUUCCUGGGCCAGCAGGAGCAUAUCACUGUGACUUACAACCCUUCUCUAGUCUGCUACAAUGGAAUCUUAAACAAGAAAAUUUUAUAUUUUGACUUGCAUCAUUGAGAAAAACACUGCCAACCUGAUCGUGGUUCCUUUGAAGAAUCACUGCAGCAGGUGCGAGAGAGGACUCAUGGAGCUUGCAGAUGAGCUAGCCCAGGUAGGACAUCUGAUGUUGGGACCCUCUUCAGAAGUGAAGCAUAUAUAAUCCCACAUGAAAUCUCUCAAGCCAUUCCAGAAGAAUGUUUUCUCAGAUAAAGGUUAUUUACCUAUUUAUAAUAAUUUAUAAUUUACAAAGCAUAUUCAUAUAUAUGAUCCCAUCUAACUCAUAAAAUUAUAUGAAAUGUAUACUAUCUCCAUUUUACAGAUGGGGAAAUUGAGCCUCAGAGUGAUAAAGUAACUUCCCCAAAGUCAUGUAGCUAGUAAAUGAAAGUGAUGAGACUCACACUAGGUUCUUCUAAGUUUUUAGAGUACUUCGUCCACGGCGCCAAGGUGUCUAGGGCAGAGACACCACAACCUCCUAAGGUAGGUUAUGCCAUUAAUGUUCCACUUGGGUGGGAAUACACACACACCCACACACACACUAUAAUUCACACUUCCUUAUAGUUAUAUUCCUCAUUCUUUGAACUUAAUCCAUGGUAAAGAAUUAUUUAUUAUGGUGGGGUAGAAGGAGACCCUUUGAGAUUUGAAGACACUGAUUAACCAUGUUAGUGUUUUUCCUCAGGCAAAAUAUUCAUGGGCUCUUUUACCAUAACUUGCUGUCCUUAUUUCCUCAUUAAAUUUCAAGUUUCCACAAAAUAAGAAAAGAAACAACUAAAGAAGAAAUUGUUGGAAGGCAUGGAGCAAAGUGUAAGAACAACUAAGUAAACAUGUACAUUUUGCAUUUUUAAAAAAUUCAGUGGCCAUAAUACCACUGGCCAACAGGCUGAUCAAAUAAUCCCUGAAACAAAGAGUUAUAUGUUACGGAGGGGAUUGAAUCAGAAUACAGAAAAGAGAGACUUGAGAGGUUAAGACAAAACAUCCUGGGAAAUACACCUAUUAAAAUAUGGUAACUAGCUGUUCUCCAUUUCUUUCAAGACAGAAUGGGAAAUGGAGGUAAACACAGCAAGAGUAUUAGUCGGUUAGACAACAGGAAUAUUUUGCUGAUUUUUGUUGUUGUUGUUUUGUUUUUGUUUUUGUUUUUGAGACAGUGUCUUGCUGCGACACCCA